AGGGUGGGAAUGUUUUUGCUGCGCUGAGCCAGGGGCAGAGUGAGGAAGAGGAGGAGGAGGAAGAGGAGAAAAAACCAGCCAAGGGCAAAAGCAGCAAGGAGGAAGAGGAGGCUGAGAAGAAGAAGAAGAAAAACCUGAAAAAGGAGAAGCCCAAGGGGAAGAAGCAGGGGCGGCCGCCCAGCGAUGACGACGACGAGGCCGAAGGCUCCGAGGAGGCCCCGGGCAGGAAGAACAAAUUCGGGGCCCUGAGGGAUGAGGAAGAGGAGGAGGAGGAGGAGGAAGGAGCCCGGAAGGGAAGCGACAACGUGAGACUGGGGGGGG
Onychostruthus taczanowskii (white-rumped snowfinch) is the source of this 321-nucleotide long non-coding RNA. RefSeq lists it as uncharacterized. The record is from RefSeq and is a predicted model, not a curated record. Lineage: Eukaryota; Metazoa; Chordata; Aves; Passeriformes; Passeridae. The transcript has 4 exons.